This 465-nucleotide ribosomal RNA is filed under the name Vreelandella stevensii. Its description in RNAcentral is "partial 16S ribosomal RNA". It matches the Rfam family "Bacterial small subunit ribosomal RNA", at positions 338 to 795 of the family's 1533-position model. The record is from RNAcentral. Lineage: Bacteria; Pseudomonadati; Pseudomonadota; Gammaproteobacteria; Oceanospirillales; Halomonadaceae.
CCUACGGGAGGCAGCAGUGGGGAAUAUUGGACAAUGGGGGGAACCCUGAUCCAGCCAUGCCGCGUGUGUGAAGAAGGCCCUCGGGUUGUAAAGCACUUUCAGUGAGGAAGAACGCCUGGUGGUUAAUACCCAUCAGGAAAGACAUCACUCACAGAAGAAGCACCGGCUAACUCCGUGCCAGCAGCCGCGGUAAUACGGAGGGUGCGAGCGUUAAUCGGAAUUAGUGGGCGUAAAGCGCGCGUAGGUGGCUUGAUAAGCCGGUUGUGAAAGCCCCGGGCUCAACCUGGGAACGGCAUCCGGAACUGUCAAGCUAGAGUGCAGGAGAGGAAGGUAGAAUUCCCGGUGUAGCGGUGAAAUGCGUAGAGAUCGGGAGGAAUACCAGUGGCGAAGGCGGCCUUCUGGACUGACACUGACACUGAGGUGCGAAAGCGUGGGUAGCAAACAGGAUUAGAUACCCUAGUAGUC